RNAcentral lists this ribosomal RNA (429 nucleotides) under Pseudomonadota bacterium. RNAcentral describes it as "Proteobacteria bacterium partial 16S ribosomal RNA". It matches the Rfam family "Bacterial small subunit ribosomal RNA", at positions 355 to 776 of the family's 1533-position model. The record is from RNAcentral. Lineage: Bacteria; Pseudomonadati; Pseudomonadota.
UGGGGAAUAUUGGACAAUGGGCGAAAGCCUGAUCCAGCCAUGCCGCGUGUGUGAAGAAGGUCUUCGGAUUGUAAAGCACUUUAAGUUGGGAGGAAGGGCAGUAAGCGAAUACCUUGCUGUUUUGACGUUACCGACAGAAUAAGCACCGGCUAACUCUGUGCCAGCAGCCUCGGUAAUACAGAGGGUGCAAGCGUUAAUCGGAAUUACUGGGCGUAAAGCGCGCGUAGGUGGUUCGUUAAGUUGAAUGUGAAAGCCCCGGGCUCAACCUGGGAACUGCAUCCAAAACUGGCGAGCUAGAGUAGGGCAGAGGGUGGUGGAAUUUCCUGUGUAGCGGUGAAAUGCGUAGAUAUAGGAAGGAACACCAGUGGCGAAGGCGACCACCUGGGCUCAUACUGACACUGAGGUGCGAAAGCGUGGGGAGCAAACAGG